UCUCUCUCUUUCCCCCUCUCUCUGUCUCUCUCUCUUUCCCCCUCUCUCUGUCUCUCUCUCUCCCUGUCUCUCUCCCCGCCCUGUCUCUUACCCCUUCUCUCCCGUCCUCCUCCUAGGGUCUCCGCUCCAUCCCCUCCUGCCCCGCUGACCUCUCCUCUGCUCACAGCCUCCUCCCUCCCCGCUCCGUCUCUCCCUCUCCCCUCCCGGCCCCCUGACUCUCCUAGCUCUCACCGCUGUGCUCUCCGCUGGCUUCUCUCCCUGCCGGCUCCCCCUCCCGCCCGGGCUGCUCCUGCCCCGUCCCCUUCACCGGUCUCUCGCGGCUCUGCAGCAGCUCUCCCCUGCCUGCCCCUCCGGUCCCUCUUCCCCUUCCCCGGGCUGCUCCUCCCCCUCCCCCUCCUCCCUCUCUCUCCUCCUCUCCCCCUUCCCCCACCUCUCCCCCUUCCCCCUCCCCGCCCCCCACGGCUCCCUCCCCACCUGGCUUCUCCUCUUUCUCUUACUCCCCUCUUCCCUCGGGGCCUCCCUCGGGGUCUCCGUUCCCCGUUUCCACGCCGCUGUCCCCUCUGAGCUGCCCCUCUCCUGCAUUUUCUCGCCAACUCUCCCUUCUCCUCCUGCCCUCCCGCCUCCAUCUCCCUUCUCCUUGCUCAGUCGCCUUCCUCACCUUCCUCUUUCCCUCUCUCCCCAGUGGCUCUUUCCUACCCCUCCCACCUUCCUGCCUCCUUCCUCUCUCCCCUCUCUGGAUCUGUCAUUUCUCUCUCCGUCUUGGGAGGCCCCUGCCCAGCGCCGCGUCCUCACCCCGCGGGCUCCUAGGGCUCCUCUCCCGCCCUUGGGACUCUCAGGUUGCCAAGUUCUGAGCUGAUGGCCAAGUCGCCACCCCAGGGAUCCCGGGGCAGGGCUGUCGAGCCGGAGUCCCCCCGAGCUGGAAGCACCUAUGUGACACCCAUUUUUUCUCUCUUUCCUGUCUGCCCCGGACUCUGCACGCUGCCUGGAGGGAUCGAAUCGGGCCCCCGCGCAGGGGAGCGAGAAACGGGCUCAGAGGCAGGAAGCAAGUUGCCUAAAGACGCACAGCACGCGGCGUGGAGCACACAGGCAGCUGGGAGGACUUCACCCACCGCCGACUCCACCGACGAGGCAACAGGCGCCAGGUGUGCCUGAAGACCGGCAUCCUCCAGGACGGAGACCUCAAGGGGGCCUAGACGGCGUUGCCAGAGGACCGACGGCGCCCCCCGCAGGGCCCUCCCCUCCGCCAAGACGGCCCACGCGGGGCAGCGAGAGGCCCCAGGAUCGAUCACCGGAGAGGCUCUCUCGGACUGCGGUCGUCCAUCGCCACCUACCGGCGGAAGACAAAACUGCAAUGCAGCUCUAAAAGACACUAGGAAAGGCGGCCCCAUAGGAGGACAGUGCCUGAGGGCGAGGCGGGGGCUGGAGCGGGCGGAGAGGAGAGGAUUUGCAAAAUUCUGUAAAAAUUAAAAACUUUUCUACGCCUAACCGAUAUAUAAACAUCAUACUCAGCAA
Molecule: long non-coding RNA, 1512 nt
Organism: Bubalus bubalis (water buffalo)
Lineage: Eukaryota; Metazoa; Chordata; Mammalia; Artiodactyla; Bovidae
Exons: 2
Source: RefSeq, a predicted model, not a curated record